GAAUUUGACGCACGCGCCGACGCUCUGGGUGAACAUUUUUGCAGCUAAUGAAGGAGAAGACGCUCGCUUGCCGAAGACACAAAAGGCAGCUUAAAGGCAGAACAACAUUGACAAUCAGGGCUGCAGUCAAAUCUCUGGCGAGUUAGCCUUGCUUUUUAUUUUUUUUUUGGAAGAGCAGCCGCACCGCAGCCCGAGGUUUUCAGAAGCUCUGUUUAUCGAUUCUUUAGCGCAACCUUAUAAUUAAUUAGGAACAGAAGCAUAUCAUUAAGGAGGAAAAAAGAAAAAAAAAAACCCCGCUGAUGUCAUUCUCAGGGCCUGGUUACCGAGCAGAUUUGCUCACAUUCACUUCGCCACAUUGUGACGUUACCUUCUCGUGAACACCAAUGAAGUUCUUUUCACCCGCUUGCACGCCAUUCUUACCUCUUUGCCGGACAGGUAGUACGCCGACAGAAGGCCUCCCACGAAGCGGAUGUUCACCUCGAAGACGGACACUUCGGCAUUCUGGGAGGCCAAGAUGAGAGAGACCGCAAAGAUUUAAAAACUCAGACACCGAAGCUAGUUUGACUUAGCAACGGGAAAUGUCAUUCUCGUUGCUUUCCUAUUAGUGUGCAUCACACACACGGGCGGGUCGCGACUACCAACAGGCUCUGGACUGCGGCGAGAUUGCGUUUAGCAUUCAGCGGCUUCAGUCUCGACAAGACGGUUCCGGCGACUCGUCCUUCCUUCCACCUUUGUACGAGUCUCUGGAGCGCUCCUCCUGUUUGGCACUGAGUGUCCACGAGAGUGAUACAGAUGACUCCGACAGUGACCUGAAUACUAAUAUUAUCUCCCCCCCCCCCCCUUUUCUUUUCUGUGACUGAUACUAGAGCAAAUGGUAAGAGUGCAGUUUGAUUCUGGAAGGUCAUAGCUUUUCUUCCUUCCUUCUUGGUUUCUGCUGAUUUAUUCCGUUUUUAUUUGGGAGUACAAUGCUAGCUCCAAUUCCCCACCUUGCAGUCUCUUUGUAUUCACUGUUUGUUCUGUCGGGGCGCCAUGGGACGACAACGCGUUUGUUGUGUGUGAAGAAACACAAACAGGGGAAGAAAGAAGAAAAAAAAAUCAAUUGUUAAUUCCUUUUUUUUACAUUUUACUUGGAUUGGAGAAGAACCUCAGGGGAUGUUUCUAUAGCAGCUUAUGGCGCAGCUUACACCUGGGGUAUGACAGGACAAGUUUUUGGAGUAAGAGCAGAUGAUUUUAAAAUGUUUUAAGAAGCUUAAAAUGUUUUUUUUUUUGUAAACCGCCAGCGGGCCUGGAACACGCCAUAAACAACUCUACAAUAAAGUUAUUCCUGCUGGGCCUACAUCAUCUUU
This is a long non-coding RNA of Syngnathus typhle (broad-nosed pipefish), 1346 nucleotides long. RefSeq lists it as uncharacterized. The transcript is spliced from 4 exons. The record is from RefSeq and is a predicted model, not a curated record. NCBI's taxonomy places the organism in Eukaryota, Metazoa, Chordata, Actinopteri, Syngnathiformes, Syngnathidae.